GAUGAACGCUGGCGGCGUGCCUAACACAUGCAAGUCGAACGGACGAGAAGAGCUUGCUCUUCGAGUUAGUGGCGGACGGGUGAGUAACGCGUGAGCAAUCUGCCUUUCAGAGGGGGAUAACAUUGGGAAACCGGUGCUAAUACCGCAUGAUGUGCGAGGGUCGCAUGACUCUUGUACCAAAGGAGCAAUCCGCUGAAAGAUGAGCUCGCGUCUGAUUAGCUAGUUGGUGAGGUAACGGCCCACCAAGGCGACGAUCAGUAGCCGGACUGAGAGGUUGAACGGCCACAUUGGGACUGAGACACGGCCCAGACUCCUACGGGAGGCAGCAGUGGGGAAUCUUCCGCAAUGGACGAAAGUCUGACGGAGCAAUGCCGCGUGAGUGAUGAAGGUUUUCGGACCGUAAAGCUCUUUUACCAGGGACGAAGAACGUGACGGUACCUGGAGAAAAAGCAACGGCUAACUACGUG
This 467-nucleotide ribosomal RNA is filed under the name uncultured bacterium. RNAcentral describes it as "bacterial SSU rRNA". It matches the Rfam family "Bacterial small subunit ribosomal RNA", at positions 28 to 507 of the family's 1533-position model. The record is from RNAcentral.